CCUAGGGGCCAGCCCUCCAUCCCGCGAGGGAAAGGGCUGCCUUCCGCACCGCGAUAGGUUCGUGGCUGUGGCCCACGCGAGCCCCCUCAGGCCGUCCGAAGGACCGACGGACCUUAGCAGGGCCCUUGCCCCGCAGAGCUCUAAACAGCGCGGGGCGUGAGCCGGAGCAUCCGCGUUCCGACCGUUUUUGCGAACAGAAGGUGGAGGCAGAUUGCUUUGCGCACGUGCUCGGGAAGCUGAAGGGAUGAGUGCGCAGGUGGAGCAGCAGGCUUCCCACAUCCUCAAAACUAGGCUUUCUGGCCCAGGGUCCUUCUGUGAGCUGGUUCAAGGGGCCUCAGACUCCCACACCCUCCAUUGCUGCAUCUCCUCCAAGAAGCCAGAAUCCUCAGUCACUCACCAAGAUGUCCAGCUGCCAGUCUCCAGUGUCCAGCUCUGCACCAAAUGCCACCACUUCUAGGGACUCCCAGCAGUGAGUUCCCUCACAGUGGCCAGUAUGAGAAGGGAGGGGGCAAACAACAAAGGGCAGGGAAGGGACCCCAAUAGCUGCAACCCAGGCUGACUUUCCCUAACUUCUUCUGUGACUGCAGAUGGGUCACUGUCUCUUUAAGCCUCAGUUUCCCAUUUGAUAUGCUUCCACACAUCAAUCUCACAGAGACUGUGAUUAACGAUUUACAUAGAAGGGCUUUGUCCCUGUGGGGAGCCACUCCACAUUCAUGCACCUUUAAGUCCUCAUGCACCACGGGGAUCUGAAAGAUCAAUGUAGUCUGGCGUGGUAGGGCCAUGACUUGUGACUCUUGGGCUUUUCCCUUGCUGGGAUAACAAGGCAUGGCCCUAGCAGUAGGCGGCGCCCAGAGGGGUUGAGUACACUCACCUGUUCCUUUGUAAUUCUACCCCUUUGCCCUUUUGGGGAUAGAAUGUUCCAUGGAACCUCCCCUUGUGUGUUCCUUGUAUAAGAAUAAAGAGUUCCAAUGGCUCUCUCUCUUUCCAAGGACUCUUAAGGUCACAGAGCCAUCUCCGGAAUAUUGAAAAAGGUA
Long non-coding RNA from Marmota flaviventris (yellow-bellied marmot), 1034 nucleotides. RefSeq lists it as uncharacterized. NCBI's taxonomy places the organism in Eukaryota, Metazoa, Chordata, Mammalia, Rodentia, Sciuridae. The record is from RefSeq and is a predicted model, not a curated record.